Molecule: ribosomal RNA, 253 nt
Filed under: uncultured bacterium
Lineage: Bacteria
Description: partial 16S ribosomal RNA
Rfam family: Bacterial small subunit ribosomal RNA
Source: RNAcentral
GACGUAGGGCGCGAGCGUUGUCCGGAUUUAUUGGGCGUAAAGAGCUCGUAGGCGGCUUGUCGCGUCGUCCGUGAAAACCUGCGGCUCAACUGCAGGCUGGCGGUCGAUACGGGCAGGCUGGAGUUCGGUAGGGGAGACUGGAAUUCCUGGUGUAGCGGUGAAAUGCGCAGAUAUCAGGAGGAACACCAACGGCGAAGGCAGCUCGCUGGGACGGUACUGACGCUGAGACGCGGAAGCGUGGGGAGCGAACAGG